RNAcentral lists this ribosomal RNA (300 nucleotides) under uncultured bacterium. RNAcentral describes it as "bacterial SSU rRNA". It matches the Rfam family "Bacterial small subunit ribosomal RNA", at positions 775 to 1067 of the family's 1533-position model. The record is from RNAcentral.
GGAUUAGAUACCCUGGUAGUCCACGCUGUAAACGAUGAUCACUAGAUGUCAGCUUCCCUUGAGGAGGUUGGUAUCGUAGCUAACGCGAUAAGUGAUCCGCCUGGGGAGUACGGUCGCAAGACUAAAACUCAAAGAAAUUGACGGGGGUCCGCACAAGCGGUGGAACAUGUGGUUUAAUUCGACACUACGCGAGGAACCUUACCUGGGCUCGACAUACAUUUGAUCGGGGCAGAGAUGUCUCUUUCUCGGGUAACCGAGACAAAUGAACAGGUGCUGCAUGGCUGUCGUCAGCUCGUGUCG